This 2766-nucleotide ribosomal RNA is filed under the name Azospirillum thiophilum. Its description in RNAcentral is "bacterial LSU rRNA". It matches the Rfam family "Bacterial large subunit ribosomal RNA". The record is from RNAcentral. Lineage: Bacteria; Pseudomonadati; Pseudomonadota; Alphaproteobacteria; Rhodospirillales; Azospirillaceae.
AGAUCAAGCGUCUGAAGGGCAUCUGGUGGAUGCCUUGGCACUGAGAGGCGAUGAAGGACGUAGCACGUUGCGAUAAGUCACGGGGAGCCGCGAGCAGGCUUUGAUCCGUGAAUUUCCGAAUGGGGAAACCCACCGCGCAAGCGGUAUCCCGUACUGAAUUCAUAGGUACGGGAAGCGAACCCGGCGAACUGAAACAUCUAAGUAGCCGGAGGAAAGGACAUCAACCGAGACUCCGCUAGUAGUGGCGAGCGAACGCGGACCAGGCCAGUGAUUGCUUCUACAUAACCGGAACCGUCUGGAAAGUCGGGCCAUAGCGGGUGAUAGCCCCGUACGGAUAAACCGGAAGCAAUCCUCGAGUAGGGCGGGGCACGUGAAACCCUGUCCGAACAUGGGGGGACCACCCUCCAAGCCUAAGUACUCCUCAGUGACCGAUAGUGCACCAGUACCGUGAGGGAAAGGUGAAAAGCACCCCGACAAGGGGAGUGAAACAGUUCCUGAAACCGGAUGCCUACAAGCAGUCGGAGCCUCCCAAGUCUUGAAAAAGAUGGGCGGGGUGACGGCGUACCUUUUGUAUAAUGGGUCAGCGACUUAGAGUAUGCAGCGAGCUUAAGCCGAUAGGUGGAGGCGCAGCGAAAGCGAGUCUGAAUAGGGCGACCGAGUUGCAUGCUUUAGACCCGAAACCUGAUGAUCUAGCCAUGGGCAGGUUGAAGGUGCGGUAACACGCACUGGAGGACCGAACUCACGCCUGUUGAAAAAGUCGGAGAUGACCUGUGGCUAGGGGUGAAAGGCCAAUCAAAUCAGGAAAUAGCUGGUUCUCCGCGAAAGCUAUUUAGGUAGCGCGUCGCGUAUUGCUGCGGGGGGUAGAGCACUGGAUGGGCUAGGGGGGCGCGAGCCUUACCAAACCUAACCAAACUCCGAAUACCCGCAAGCAGAGCGCGGCAGACAGACGGUGGGUGCUAAGGUCCAUCGUCGAGAGGGAAACAGCCCAGACCGCCAGCUAAGGUCCCCAAAUCACGGCUAAGUGGGAAAGGAUGUGGGAAGGCCAUGACAACCAGGAGGUUGGCUUAGAAGCAGCCAUCCUUUAAAGAAAGCGUAAUAGCUCACUGGUCUAGUUAAGCCGGCCUGCGCCGAAAAUGUAUCGGGGCUCAAGCCGUGUACCGAAGCUGCGGAUGUGAUCUUCGGAUCACGUGGUAGCGGAGCGUUCCGUAAGCCUGCGAAGGGUGGCCGUGAGGUCGCCUGGAGGUAUCGGAAGUGAGAAUGCUGACAUGAGUAGCGACAAAGAGUGUGAGAAACACUCUCGCCGAAAGUCCAAGGGUUCCUGCGCAAGGUUAAUCCACGCAGGGUGAGCCGGCCCCUAAGGCGAGGCCGAAAGGCGUAGUCGAUGGGAACCACGUUAAUAGUCGUGGGCCUGGCGGAGGUGACGGAUUGGAAAGCGUGUAUGUCCUUAUCGGAUUGGACAUGCUGUGGACCGGUUCCAGGAAACAGCCCCGCCGUAUAGACCGUACCCCAAACCGACACAGGUGGACAGGUAGAGUAUACCCAGGCGCUUGAGAGAAUGGUGUUGAAGGAACUCGGCAAAUUGCCCUCGUAACUUCGGAAGAAGAGGGCCCCGUUGUGGCGCAAGCCAUGGCGGGGGGCACAGACCAGGGGGUAGCGACUGUUUACUAAAAACACAGGGCUCUGCGAAGCCAUACAAGGCGACGUAUAGGGUCUGACGCCUGCCCGGUGCCGGAAGGUUAAGAGGAGGGGUGCAAGCUCUGAAUUGAAGCCCCGGUAAACGGCGGCCGUAACUAUAACGGUCCUAAGGUAGCGAAAUUCCUUGUCGGGUAAGUUCCGACCUGCACGAAUGGCGUAACGACUUCCCCGCUGUCUCCAACACCAACUCAGCGAAAUUGAACUCUCCGUGAAGAUGCGGAGUUCCCGCGGUCAGACGGAAAGACCCCGUGCACCUUUACUACAGCUUUGCAGUGGUGCUAGGGAUCUCAUGUGUAGGAUAGGUGGGAGGCUUGGAAGCCUGGGCGCCAGCCCGGGUGGAGCCAACCUUGAAAUACCACCCUUGAGAUCUCUGGCAUCUAACCGCGGCCCGUUACCCGGGUCCGGGACCCUGCAUGGCGGGUAGUUUGACUGGGGCGGUCGCCUCCCAAAGUGUAACGGAGGCGCGCGAUGGUGGGCUCAGAGCGGUCGGAAAUCGCUCGUCGAGUGCAAUGGCAUAAGCCCGCCUGACUGCAAGACUGACAAGUCGAGCAGAGACGAAAGUCGGCCAUAGUGAUCCGGUGGCUCCACGUGGACGGGCCAUCGCUCAACGGAUAAAAGGUACGCCGGGGAUAACAGGCUGAUGACUCCCAAGAGUCCAUAUCGACGGAGUCGUUUGGCACCUCGAUGUCGGCUCAUCACAUCCUGGGGCUGGAGCAGGUCCCAAGGGUUCGGCUGUUCGCCGAUUAAAGUGGUACGUGAGCUGGGUUUAGAACGUCGUGAGACAGUUCGGUCCCUAUCUGCCGUGGGUGUAGGAGUUUUGCGAGGAUCUGUCCCUAGUACGAGAGGACCGGGAUGGACAUACCUCUGGUGCACCGGUUGUCACGCCAGUGGCAUGGCCGGGUAGCUAAGUAUGGACGGGAUAACCGCUGAAAGCAUCUAAGCGGGAAACCCACCUCUAAACAAGAGCUCCCUUGAGAGCCGUGACAGACCAUCACGUCGAUAGGAGGCAUGUGGACGGGCGGUGACGCUCGAAGCUAAGCCUUACUAAUCGCUCGAUCGGCUUGAUCUCGA